GGGAGAUCAGACCAAGCAACGGUCUUCAUGUAUUAUUGUCUCCCUGUAUCAUCAUCAUCCUCUCACAAGAAGAGAUGACAAUUUCAGGUAUUGUGCUAGUCAUUGGGAUUGCAGAGACCAAGUAGGAAAUCAUCUUUUCACUCAAGAAAUCUUCAAUCUAACUGAAGGAGCAUCCUGCUCUCCUCUCCAGAUGAUUGGGUCUGGAUCAUUCUCAGCAUUCCCAUCUGGAUGAGCCUAUGAUCUAUUCUGUUAUGGGAAAAGCGGCGUUCUUCAUUCCUCUGACAGCCUUACUCCAUUCCGAGUCUCGGCUACUGUAUCUCCAAUUUAUUCAUCUUGAGCAAUGGGAUUCCCCGACAACUUGUCUUCACCAUACCCUGCCUAGAAUGUCUUCUUUAAUCAAAAUUCAGCUCCAAAUGCCUCCGUUGAUCAAGUGAAGUGGCCUUCCCACAGACUAUUGACAAUCUGUCUCCAGCGUGAUUUCAUAAGUUUCCGUUUAUUCUCUUUCCCAAUCAAGGGAGAGUCCCAGCUUUCACCCAGAGUUGGGUCUCAUCCUAAGCUUUGGCCACUUAACCAUCGGCGAUUCUGUAAUUGCUCGAGCAACAAACAUGCUUACAUCUCAGCAAGAAAAGGAGUAUUUAAAUCAUCUCCAUCUUUUAAACAACUGAUUUCUCUACAAAGAGAGGAAAACCCAUGGGGAAUCCAGUGACUACCUUGUCACUCAGGACAGUUUGGACUCAAAAUCCACAACUUACCAGCAUAGAUUCAUUGAAGAGAGUUUUUAAAAUUGGUGAAAUGAAAAGAGGGAGUUUGAGUGACUUAUUAAAUGUGACAUUGAUAAAUAAUAGGGAAAGAAACAGACAAAAUAACACUAAUAUUUGUGCAUAAAUUUAAUGUUGAAAAUGAGUCAUUAAUGGGCAGGUGGUUGUCGUCAUCUUUAUCACUAUCUUCACUCACAUCAAGAUGAUCAUUAUUAUUAGUCUUCCAUUUAUAAGGCAAGCAUGCUCUGCCUCCAAAGUAGCUUUGAGCCAUUGCCUUUUUGAUUCUUGCAAUAAACUUGUGCAGGAGAACUGCCAAGAGUACAGAUCUCAUUUUCUAGAUGAGGAAAUUGAGAUGCAGAGAAAUUAAGGAACACUUCAAUCAAUCAAGGUGCUAUGUUAGCUUGGUGUUAGGGACACAGUUCAAAAUGAAGCAAUCUCUGCUGGCAAAGUGAUUCAACUUAAAAAAUUAGCCAACAGCAGAGCUGAGUUCAGAGUCCAUGGCCACCUGAUUCUAGGUCUUCUGCUAUUCCUGUUGGCCAGGCUCUAUUCAAAUAUUGAUUGAUAGAUUUCACCUUGUACUUAUGAUUUUUUCUUAAUACCAUUUUUCCAGUUAUAGUUUUUAAUAUUCAUUUUUGUAAGAUUUAGAGUUCCAUAUUUUUGUUCCCUUCCACCCUUGUUUCCCCCUUCCCAAGAUAGCAAAAAAUCUGAUAUAGAUUA
Molecule: long non-coding RNA, 1475 nt
Organism: Sarcophilus harrisii (Tasmanian devil)
Lineage: Eukaryota; Metazoa; Chordata; Mammalia; Dasyuromorphia; Dasyuridae
Exons: 3
Source: RefSeq, a predicted model, not a curated record